RNAcentral lists this ribosomal RNA (266 nucleotides) under uncultured eukaryote. Its description in RNAcentral is "partial small subunit ribosomal RNA". It matches the Rfam family "Eukaryotic small subunit ribosomal RNA", at positions 587 to 857 of the family's 1831-position model. The record is from RNAcentral.
AGCUCCAAUAGCGUAUAUUAAAGUUGUUGCAGUUAAAAAGCUCGUAGUUGGAUUUCUUGGGUAGCAAGCGGGUCGGCACAAAGUGUCUGUACUAGCUUUGCUAUUCAAUCCUCGUAACAAGGUAUCGGUGAGUUAACUCCAUUCGGUGCUGAGUUGCGUCAUUUACUGUGAACAAAUUAGAGUGUUUAAAGCAGGCAAAUGCUGUGAAUACAUUAGCAUGGAAUAAUAAGAUAGGACCUAGAGUCUAUUUUGUUGGUUGCGUAUUU